Notechis scutatus (mainland tiger snake) is the source of this 175-nucleotide unclassified non-coding RNA. The record is from Ensembl. Lineage: Eukaryota; Metazoa; Chordata; Lepidosauria; Squamata; Elapidae.
CUAGGAAGGGGCGAAAAACAGCUCUCAACUGACCUGGGCUUUUAUAGCACUUUUGGCAGUCAACUUCAGCUUGUCUCCAGCAGACGCGACUGAAAGCUGACCGAAAGCACCGCCUUCCCUGAAGCUCUCAAGAAACAGUGCCCUUUAGGGUAAAGGGGGCAACAGACCUGGAAGG